Molecule: long non-coding RNA, 196 nt
Organism: Paramisgurnus dabryanus
Lineage: Eukaryota; Metazoa; Chordata; Actinopteri; Cypriniformes; Cobitidae
Source: RefSeq, a predicted model, not a curated record
AGUAGCAGUUACACCGCGUCAAUCAAUCAUAACGGACACACAGAUUUCAAAGGCAGCAGGAUGAAAGAUAUGUGUCUGUGUUCAUCAAGACAUGAAGACUCUGGAGUGGGACAAGAGAAGGAUGAUGGGGUGUAUAUUCCAAUAGACACAUUAAGUCACAUUGUGAUUUCAGUGAAAGCUGAUAAAUACAGAGGGC